UCGAGUGAUGCCAUCGGCCCCUGGGUAA
Molecule: small RNA, 28 nt
Filed under: Bombyx mori (domestic silkworm)
Lineage: Eukaryota; Metazoa; Arthropoda; Insecta; Lepidoptera; Bombycidae
Description: ovarian small RNA-28412
Source: RNAcentral